GACGAACGCUGGCGGCGUGCUUAACUCAUGCAAGUCGAACGGAAAGGCCCUGCUUUUGUGGGGUGCUCGAGUGGCGAACGGGUGAGUAACACGUGAGUAACCUGCCCUUGACUUUGGGAUAACUUCAGGAAACUGGGGCUAAUACCGGAUAGGAGCUCCUGCUGCAUGGUGGGGGUUGGAAAGUUUCGGCGGUUGGGGAUGGACUCGCGGCUUAUCAGCUUGUUGGUGGGGUAGUGGCUUACCAAGGCGUUGACGGGUAGCCGGACUGGGAGGGUGUCCGGCCACAUUGGCACUGAGAUACGGCCCAGACUCCUACUGGAGGCAACGGUGGGAAAUAUUGCACAAUGGGCGGAAGCCUGAUGCAGCAACGCCGCGUGCGGGAUGACGGGAUUCGGGUUGUAAAGCGCUUUCGCCUGUGGCGAAGCGUGUGUGACGGUAAUGGGUAAAGAAGCACCGGCUAACUACGUG
This 468-nucleotide ribosomal RNA is filed under the name uncultured bacterium. RNAcentral describes it as "partial 16S ribosomal RNA". It matches the Rfam family "Bacterial small subunit ribosomal RNA", at positions 28 to 507 of the family's 1533-position model. The record is from RNAcentral.